This 253-nucleotide ribosomal RNA is filed under the name uncultured Gemmata sp. Its description in RNAcentral is "partial 16S ribosomal RNA". It matches the Rfam family "Bacterial small subunit ribosomal RNA", at positions 524 to 776 of the family's 1533-position model. Lineage: Bacteria; Pseudomonadati; Planctomycetota; Planctomycetia; Gemmatales; Gemmataceae. The record is from RNAcentral.
GACGAACCGUGCGAACGUUGUUCGGAUUCACUGGGCUUAAAGGGCGCGUAGGCGGGCGACCAAGUCAGGGGUGAAAUCUUUCAGCUUAACUGGAAAACAGCCUCUGAUACUGGCCGUCUGGAGGGAGGUAGGGGCCUGUGGAACUUCUGGUGGAGCGGUGAAAUGCGUAGAUAUCAGAAGGAACGCCGGAGGCGAAAGCGACGGGCUGGACCUCAUCUGACGCUGAGGCGCGAAAGCUAGGGGAGCAAACGGG